GAUGAACGCUGGCGGCGUGCUUAACACAUGCAAGUCGAACGAAGCAUUUGCGACAGAUUUUUUCGGAAUGAAGUUGCUUAUGACUGAGUGGCGGACGGGUGAGUAACGCGUGGGUAACCUGCCUUGUACUGGGGGAUAGCAGCUGGAAACGGCUGGUAAUACCGCAUAAGCGCACAAUGUUGCAUGACAUGGUGUGAAAAACUCCGGUGGUAUAAGAUGGACCCGCGUCUGAUUAGCUAGUUGGUGAGAUAACAGCCCACCAAGGCGACGAUCAGUAGCCGACCGGGGGGGGGAACCGGCAACAUUGGGACGGGGACCCGGCCCAAACUCCAACGGAGGGCAGCAGGGGGGAAUAUGGCAAAAUGAGGAAACUCUGAUGCAGCGACGCCGCGUGAGUGAAGAAGUAAUUCGUUAUGUAAAGCUCUAUCAGCAGGGAAGAUAGUGACGGUACCUGACUAAGAAGCUCCGGCUAAAUACGUG
This 480-nucleotide ribosomal RNA is filed under the name uncultured bacterium. RNAcentral's name for it is "partial 16S ribosomal RNA". It matches the Rfam family "Bacterial small subunit ribosomal RNA", at positions 28 to 507 of the family's 1533-position model. The record is from RNAcentral.